AGUGCGAGGGCAUACAGUCCUCGCUUUUCUGUACCGUAAGGUGGUACAGGAACAAGUGCUGGGCAAGACCGGUGCCAGCCGCCGCGGUAAUACCGGCAGCACGAGUGAUGGCCGCUCUUAUUGGGCCUAAAGCGUCCGUAGCCGGCCGAGCAAGUUCGUCGGGAAAUCUGCCCGCUUAACGGGCAGGCGUCCGGCGAAAACUGUUCGGCUUGGGGCCGGGAGAUCCGAGGGGUACGUCCGGGGUAGGAGUGAAAUCCCGUAAUCCUGGACGGACCGCCGGUGGCGAAAGCGCCUCGGGAAAACGGACCCGACGGUGAGGGACGAAAGCUAGGGUCUCGAACCGGAUUAGAUACCCGGGUAGUCCUAGCCGUAAACGAUGCUCGCUAGGUGUGGCGCAGGCUACGAGCCUGCGCUGUGCCGUAGGGAAGCCGAGAAGCGAGCCGCCUGGGAAGUACGUCCGCAAGGAUGAAACUUAAAGGAAUUGGCGGGGGAGCACUACAACCGGAGGAGCCUGCGGUUUAAUUGGACUCAACGCCGGACAUCUCACCAGCAUCGACAGUAGCAGUGACGGUCAGGUUGAUGACCUUACCUGAGCUACUGAGAGGAGGUGCAUGGCCGCCGUCAGCUCGUACCGUGAGGCGUCCUGUUAAGUCAGGCAACGAGCGAGACCCGCAUCUCUAGUUGCCAGCAGCACGCUUGUCGUGGCUGGGUACACUAGGGAGACUGCCGCUGCCAAAGCGGAGGAAGGAACGGGCAACGGUAGGUCAGUAUGCCCCGAAUGUGCUGGGCAACACGCGGGCUACAAUGGCCGGGACAAUGGGAAACUACCCCG
Molecule: ribosomal RNA, 832 nt
Filed under: uncultured haloarchaeon
Lineage: Archaea; Methanobacteriati; Methanobacteriota; Halobacteria; Halobacteriales; Halobacteriaceae
Description: bacterial SSU rRNA
Rfam family: Archaeal small subunit ribosomal RNA
Source: RNAcentral